Aedes albopictus (Asian tiger mosquito) is the source of this 73-nucleotide non-coding RNA. Lineage: Eukaryota; Metazoa; Arthropoda; Insecta; Diptera; Culicidae. The record is from Rfam.
CGUUCUGUGGAUUGGUUGGUUAAAGCAACAGACUUGCGAUACGGAGUCGUGGGAUCGAAUCCCACCAAAACAA